CAAAAAUAUAUACUUUUCAAUAAUUACCUAAAGAAAAUAGUCACUCAAAAAAUAAAGGAGCAGAUAUGUUUAUUUCAACCUAAUAAAUUAUAUUUUAUUAUUCAAAGUACAAUUUACCUUGAAAGCAUAGCAAUGAGAAAUGCUAAGCUACUUAAGUUGAAAACUGCAUAUCAUUAUCACUGGAAUUAGCAUUUAUAGUAACACUUUCGCAGUGAUAUUAUCAGUAGUAGGAGAAUCCUCUAUGUGGAAUGUAUUAUGAUAUCAUCGUUUAUAGAUGUAAUAGCUCUUAAAGGAAAACUCCAGACCCCUAAACCACUUUAGCUUGCCAAAGGGCUUUGGGUGUGAACUCUGCAUCCUCUUUUUUUCAGUUUACAAAAAGUGCAGAUUUCAAUAGAAAUUGACAGUUUUAGAAUUUGACCUUGUCACACCACCCUAGCUGUCAAUCGGUCAAUGGGUCAUGUUACUUCCUGGUUUGGUUAGCUCAGUGAAACUAAACUCAAGAGGCAGCAAUUGCCCAGAGAACCUGCCUUGCAAAGACUUCUCAUUGAGCUGCAUUGGGAAGACUGAUUGGACAGCCACAGAAAAUCUGGGUUAAAAGGGGAGUGCUUGCAAAGGCUUCGGGCAAGAGAUCUGCAGGUUUUGCAAGCUAUAUUCAAAUAUACCCCCAAUUGAAAAAAAAAUGCAUAAUUACAUACAUACACGUUUUCAUUAAGAGUAUAUUUACUAAGCAUUAUAUUUAUUUUUAGGAUUUGGGCAGUGGUCUUUAACAAAGAAAUUGCUAGGACACUUUAAAGCAUUGCACAUUUAAUAAACCCCUCCUCUCCCAUGCAAGAUUCACCAAUUAUAAGACAUUUUAUUAGGGAGUGCAUGCAUUUAACCAAUGGGACUGGGCGAGUUCUAAGCACAAGCUCUAAAGCCAGCAAGUGUCCAAGUAUGCUUAAAUAAACCUUAUAUGAAUAAUAAAAUAGGACAACCUUAUUUUAAAGGCAAAGUUGCAGCAUGUAUUUACACAUGAUUGUUCUUAGAAAAAUAAAAGUCGAACUGACUAGCAUAUUUAAUGGUUGACCAUAAAGCUAAUUUUAUUACGAAAGUAUGGCAUCAAUGCUAUUUUUUUUAGGUUACCUAGAAAGGUGAAAUAGUUGUUUAAGUGGUAUAUUCUUUACUAUCACUUUGGAAUACAAUAUAAUAGGUUUUUAUUUUUAACAAGGCCCACACUUAUUUAUUUGCCAUCCUGGACUAGCUGUUCAUUAAAUUGUGAGGUUACCAAACUGUUUUAAUUUGGAUUUUAUAUAUAUAUUUUUAUAUGCAUUGUAGCAUUUAAAAACAUAUAUUCAACAAAACAUUGGGUCGGGGGGGGGGUGGGGACUAUUUUGCUUAAAAAAUACUUUAAAAACAUUUUUUUUUGUCACAAAUCUUUCCAGGCUCCCUAGCCAAUCCUGAUCUCUACAAUCUACAAGCACACAUGACUUUCCUUGAGGAAAAUGGUAGCCAUUCAAGGUAGUCACUCAUAGCUGAACUGCGCAUGUGUGAGUGGCUCAUAUUGAUUUCAAGGAAACAUCAUCCAGGCACAGUAAUAGAAAAACAGCUGUAUGCUCACUACAGCCUUUGUGACAAAAUUAAAGUAAUAUUAAAAAAUAGAAGAUGAAUAAAGGGUAAAGCAAAUAUGUUUUAAUCUAUUUUAUAAUUAGGCAAAUAAAACAUGCCGUCUGUGAAUAUCUAUUCUAAAGAUGUCUAGUAAAUAUGGUGUUUGCCCCUAUAAACAUCUUGCAAUGGAUCUAUAUAUCAGUGAGGAAAGGAAAUCAAUGAAAAUAAAGUAAGAAACGGUUAUUUUUACAUUUAAAAAUUAAACUAGGUUUAUAUUACAUUUUAAAUGCUUGUAUAGUGUUUAGAUUCCAUAUUCAUUACAGUACCUAUAAAAAACUGUUUAACUGUUUUAACAAAUAUUAUACCAUAGACAGGUUCUAUGUUCCUUGCAUAAAUGUAACACUAUUAUUUUAGCGACAGGUUCACUUGAAAUAUACGGAGCUUCAGAAUAUCUAGACAUAUUAACCUGUAACAGAAUGGAACUCUACCAAGACAUCUUGUAGUAUGUCCCCUUUCCAUCGUUAAAUCUGAAGUAGGGAAUAAAAAUCUUGGUUACUCAUUAAAAAAAAUUUAAAAUGAGUCACAGCUAGAAUUUUAGCAAGAAAGAUCAACAGAUAUAGGAAAUAUGCAUUUUUAUUCGCUUUUGCCUCAGGGGUAUCUGAGAAGGGAUGAAUUAGAUGGACUUUUUAUAUUCUUACUGACUAUGUAACUAUAAAAUGCCAGAACGUACUGUACUAGAAUUUUUAAAAGAGUAUUCAUAGAGUGAAAUGUGUUAAUCAUAAAUGACUGAAUUGAAAAUGCUUUGAUCCUAAAUUAGAUUGUACUACGUAAGCCCAAGAUAUGUCUUAAAAUUCCUACCAAUUCAAUCAAAACCGUUUAAAAUGAAAAACAUAAUGAUAAAAGCUAAAAAUGUAAAAAUAAAGAAUGUUCCAUAAUCAUUUAUACACUAGAGUCUGAAAGUAAUUAUUAUACUUAAAGUGGCAAUACAGAAACAAUUUCAAUAUAUAUUCACAUGGGUAAUUGUGUUUGGUCCAAUUUGUUGACACUUUUUGUCCUACCAGCUCUCAAGGCAAACACACAAGCGGGGCCAACUUCAGAUAUCAUUCAGGUAUCAUAGGCCAAUGCCCUUGGUAUACCUUUGGUGAGGAG
Non-coding RNA from Pelobates cultripes (western spadefoot toad), 2733 nucleotides. The record is from the annotation of a GenBank genome assembly. Lineage: Eukaryota; Metazoa; Chordata; Amphibia; Anura; Pelobatidae.